GUACUCCCUGUCGAUGAGGCUCUCGAUCCUCUUCUUCAGGUCGGCAGGCUUUAUUGGAAACUUGAGCUGCUGAAAGAGCUCGGUUAUUAGAAGUGUGUGACUCAGUAUUUUCCUUGUCUUCAUGAUACGAACAAUAGCUGCAUCAACCUGAUACUGACGAUCCUGGAAUACUCUCUCAGUAGUGCUUGUAUUUUCUUCCACAGUCUCCUUCAUCUGAAUUGCAUUUACCUU
This 231-nucleotide unclassified non-coding RNA is filed under the name Hevea brasiliensis (rubber tree). Lineage: Eukaryota; Viridiplantae; Streptophyta; Magnoliopsida; Malpighiales; Euphorbiaceae. The record is from RNAcentral.